This 811-nucleotide long non-coding RNA is filed under the name Rattus norvegicus (Norway rat). RNAcentral describes it as "long non-coding RNA NONRATT007889". The record is from RNAcentral. Lineage: Eukaryota; Metazoa; Chordata; Mammalia; Rodentia; Muridae.
AAAAUGUGUUUCCAGAGCAAGGAGUGGGUGAGCCCCACUACCGGUUUCCAGCUUUCUUUCUGCUUGCCUCCAGAUGAUGCUAUGAGUGGAAGUGUGCACUUCCUGUUAGCAUCCAAUUAUCAUGGCCUCUCAAUCUCUUUGUGGUGACCCAGGGUCCAGAGCAAGAAGUCUUGCUCUAUAUAAAUGUAUUUACACAAUAUAAACGCCUCUUUGGCACAAACAUCCAUUUCCUUCUGAUAAUAAGGCUGCCUGGGGAAGCUAUCCCAAGUGGGAGAAUGGGACUCCAGCAGCCUCUGAAUGAAUGCUUUCAUCAGAAAUAAGGUAGCUGCCUUAGCCAUUUACACAAGGGUUCACUGUAACAUUUCACACGCCCAAUGGUGUCCUCAGUGUUCUUCAGGUAAUGGGGAUCUCAGAAAAUGUGGUUCUGAUCCAAAUACAUAGUGUGUGUUUCAGCGCAGUGUUUUAUAAGAAAGGAAAAUGCCGCAUAGUAAAAGAAAGGUGUCUACUUUGUCGGACAAACCAAAUUGGUUCUCAAAAGUGACCGGUGCUUGUAAAAAGUUAUUACAAAGUAGUUCUGAAACCAACCACCGAAUGAAUGCCUGUAGCCAAGAGGGAAUCAGCCCGGUUGUCUUCCUAAUAUGCCAAUUCCAGAGUCACUGACUGAGGUGAGAACCAGCACAGAAACUAUAAACUGCUGUUUUUUGAUACCUGCUUUUUGUUUUGUUCUGUUUUGUAAAAUUAUGAUAAACUUCAGAAAAUAAAAUGUCAGUAUUGAAUUAAAAAAAAAAGAAAAGAAAAAGAAAAGAAACAA